Trachemys scripta elegans is the source of this 369-nucleotide long non-coding RNA. RefSeq lists it as uncharacterized. Lineage: Eukaryota; Metazoa; Chordata; Testudines; Emydidae. The record is from RefSeq and is a predicted model, not a curated record. The transcript has 3 exons.
AACACCUUAGACCCGCCCCCUGCCCACGCACUGACGGACAUUCGUUCCCAGGCAGAGCUGGGUGGAGCCAGGGCUGGGCUACCACGUAGGGGUGAAAACUCCUCCUCAGAGCGUCGUAUUAACCGUUUGGAAUGUUCCAUCGGCUGGCGUCCCCCGCCCGCCCCGGUGUGGUACCGCCCUGAGGUGAAAGGGGCAUGCAUGCAAAAUGCAAACAGUGCAACAAAGAAAUGCAAGGCCUGGUUGCCCGAAUAAAACUACAUCAUGAGAAGUGAUAUGAAAGGAACAUGUUUGAACAUGCAGGAUCUUCAGGAGAAUCCAUCCUCAACAUACAGGAUGAGGACUAUCCACCUUCAAUAUCACCAUCAUUUU